UCGACGAAAGGGCAAACUUUUCGAAAGGGAAGGACGCAAAGCUACAGGGGCUAAGUCUUUAAAAAGAUAUGCCAGCCAGUGCCGAA
RNAcentral lists this non-coding RNA (86 nucleotides) under Fictibacillus arsenicus. Its description in RNAcentral is "c-di-GMP sequence". It matches the Rfam family "c-di-GMP-I riboswitch aptamer". Rfam says of the family: GEMM was predicted in a large-scale screen for bacterial structured RNA regulatory elements. Genes associated with GEMM are involved in a diverse array of functions, including chemotaxis regulation, signal transduction, secretion and chitin. Lineage: Bacteria; Bacillati; Bacillota; Bacilli; Caryophanales; Fictibacillaceae. The record is from Rfam by way of RNAcentral.